AGAGCGAACGCUGGCGGCAUGCUUAACACAUGCAAGUCGCACGGGCAGGGGCAACCCUGUCAGUGGCGGACGGGUGAGUAACGCGUAGGUAUCUAUCCUUGGGUGGGGGACAACUGUGGGAAACUACAGCUAAUACCGCAUGAUAACUGAGGUUUAAAGGCGCAAGUCGCCUGGGGAGGAGCCUGCGUACGAUUAGCUUGUUGGUGGGGUAAAGGCCUACCAAGGCGACGAUCGUUAGCUGGUCUGAGAGGAUGAUCAGCCACAUUGGGACUGAGACACGGCCCAAACUCCUACGGGAGGCAGCAGUGGGGAAUAUUGGACAAUGGGCGCAAGCCUGAUCCAGCAAUGCCGCGUGUGUGAAGAAGGUCUUCGGAUUGUAAAGCACUUUCGACGGGGACGAUGAUGACGGUACCCGUAGAAGAGCCCCGGCUAACUUCGUGCCAGCAGCCGC
RNAcentral lists this ribosomal RNA (451 nucleotides) under uncultured bacterium. RNAcentral's name for it is "SSU rRNA". It matches the Rfam family "Bacterial small subunit ribosomal RNA", at positions 26 to 518 of the family's 1533-position model. The record is from RNAcentral.